AUGGUGUCCCACUUCCCCUCACUGGCCGGCCUCCUCGCCAACCGCCUGCUGGUCCUCUACGACACCACAUGGUCCGCAGUCGCUGCCAUGUCUGUGGCCGUUACGGCUCUCGCGCCCGAGGUCGCCUAUGUCUGGGGCGUCGCGUCUGGUUCACCGCUCACCAAGGCGAGCCCGCCUGGCAAAUUUGCCGGAGGCAGCAUCAGCCUGCCACUUGACGGCCGUCGUAUGUGUGCCUGCUUACCUCUUCGGUCGGACCAUGCCUGA
Molecule: ribosomal RNA, 264 nt
Filed under: Triticum aestivum (bread wheat)
Lineage: Eukaryota; Viridiplantae; Streptophyta; Magnoliopsida; Poales; Poaceae
Description: partial small subunit ribosomal RNA
Source: RNAcentral